This 324-nucleotide ribosomal RNA is filed under the name uncultured eukaryote. RNAcentral describes it as "partial 18S ribosomal RNA". It matches the Rfam family "Eukaryotic small subunit ribosomal RNA", at positions 1470 to 1795 of the family's 1831-position model. The record is from RNAcentral.
CCCUUAGAUGUCCUGGGCCGCACGCGCGCUACACUGAUGCAUUCAACGAGUUUUACCUUGGCCGAGAGGCCUGGGCAAUCUUUUAAACCUGCAUCGUGAUAGGGAUAGAUUAUUGCAAUUAUUAAUCUUGAACGAGGAAUUCCUAGUAAACGCAGAUCAUCAAUCUGCAUUGAUUACGUCCCUGCCCUUUGUACACACCGCCCGUCGCACCUACCGAUUGAAUGGUCCGGUGAAGCCUCGGGAUUGUGGCCAGUUCACUUUAUUGGGAGUUGGCUGCGAGAACUUGUCUAAACCUUAUCAUUUAGAGGAAGGUGAAGUCGUAAC